GCUGGGAAGCAACAUGAGCGGGGAGGGAGGCCGGGCCUUGGGGUCCAGGGCCAAGCCCCGUCCCCACCUAGGCCUCCCCCGAGGGCACGGACAGGCAGCCCCAAGGCCCCCCAGCGACUGGAACUGGAGACAAGGUUACAGGAGCCUCUGGGAAGGGAGGACCCCCGUGGGGUCAGGACUCACCUGGGCUCCCCGCGACGCAGGUCCCCGAGAAGAAGGGGGUCAGAAGCAACAGCCACAGCAUCUGCAAAGAGAUGGGCACGGAGGGACAGCUCAGGGCAGGGGUGGGCCAGGGGCCUCUGCAGCCGUGUGAGAGGGGACAGCGCCCCUACCUUGCCAGGCUCCACGGGUCUCUGCUCUGGGGGCCCCCGAGGUCCUUUAUCUUUUGGCCACAGGAAGUGGGCGGUCGGCUUGGGCAGUGUUCCAUUUGGGGGGGGGGGGUGGGGGUGGAGGAUGGGGAAGAAAGGCAGCCGGGUGUCAGGCAGAGUGUGUGCAGGGGGGUGGGGAGCCGGUUCCCCAUCACACACCCGGGAGGCCAGACUCCCACCCUGGCCGCCCACCCUUGGCUGACUGCACUUCUCACGACACGUCUGAGCACCAGAGGCCGCAGAGCCCGUGGCAGGCCCGGCCCGGGGCGCUGUCCACCCACCCUGCCCCGCUUCCUGCCAGUGCAGUCACGUCUCUUCCCCCGCAUUGGCCUGCCGUCUGGGCCACGGUUGGAUCCCCGCACGUGGCGCAGCGCCCCUGUCCCCGGGCCUCCACCCCAUCCUGAGUGGACAAACCGGGCUUCACAGCCCACCUUCCCAGCUGCCACCAAUAGCACACAUCCCGGUGGCCCCCAAGGGGGCAAAUGAUGCAAUUUUUGUGGCGAGACACACGGUGUCCCCUAAGGGUCCCCCUGAUGCCGUAUUGAGGCAUGGGGAGGGCAGAGGUCCAUGGUCUGAGAUAGGUUCCUUGGACACCACCCAAGAGAGUUGAGUGUAAGCAUACGGCUCCUUCUACAUCAGCCAAUCCAGUCUACAUCAGGGACCCUGAACCCUGUGAGCCCCUUUUUCCUUCCAGCUUAGGGAAGCAGCCAGCCCUCCAGCAGCUUUUGCGUCAUGGCUGGGCCACCAAGGGUAAACGUCUGGCUGUCCACAUGCUGGCAGCCUUGGUCUAGCAAAUGUCAACAUGAGCAGCUGCUAUAUGGGGGAUUCUCCUCCAUUGUGAUCAGGGCCUGGGACAAAACAUGACGAGAGAGAGACAAGAGUGCCCUGUGCUCCUGGACAGGGCUGCAUGCACAGAGCAGAUAGCCUGAAGCCUGGGGAGAGGUGGACAAAGAGACAGGUAAGGAGAGAGAAACUGGAUGAGUGAUAGGGGAAUGGGGCAAGACUGAGAGAGUGAAAGGAAGAAACACAGAGAGGUGUGGUUAGAGAGAAACAGAGACAAAGAGGAAGUACAAGGAGAAAAGUGGAGACCUGGUCCAGGUAUGUGGACGGGGCGAGAUGGUCCAGGGGAGAGGGGAUGUGUGAAGUGGCUCUGAGUGUUGGGGCAGAAAGGGCUGGUAUCACGGGCAUCAUAGUUUCAUGACUCUAAGACUCCAACAUCCCUGGGGCCAAGCUCUGCAGAGGCCAUUGCAAUUGAAAAGAUGGGCAUCCGUCACUUCUCCCGGAUGUCAGGAGCUCAGCGUUGUGGGGCUCAGCGUUAUGUUCUGUCAUGGAGAAGGAUGUCUUCAGGGAGAGUGUGCUGCUCUUUGGCAGGUCCGGCAGUCUGCACCUGGCAGAGUUGAACGGCUGAUAGUGAUAAAAAGUAUUUGACAAGAAGGUCCGUAUUCUCCCUCUGGAAUGAGCUGUGUGCAUCCAAAUCGUGGGUUGCUAUGGUCCUGUCCACAACCAAUCUGAGGAUUCCAGAAGACACUAUUUGAACAAGACAUAUUUUACUGAAGGACUCAUGGAUUGCGGGGUCCCACGACAUCACCUCAUCGAUGCAGUCGAUGGUUUGUUCCGGAUUCAGGCUCGUUUGCGGGAUGAAACCCUGACAGAAAUUCAGAGGAACGGGAGCUGCAUUCCGUUAGGACGUGAAUACAUGAAAUGCUCAUCUCAGGACCUUCUAGAAGAACGAGCUGGCACCCAGUUUCUGCGUCCUGCUGGAAACAGAGACCGAGGU
Molecule: long non-coding RNA, 2145 nt
Organism: Felis catus (domestic cat)
Lineage: Eukaryota; Metazoa; Chordata; Mammalia; Carnivora; Felidae
Exons: 3
Source: RefSeq, a predicted model, not a curated record